Molecule: ribosomal RNA, 362 nt
Filed under: uncultured bacterium
Lineage: Bacteria
Description: bacterial SSU rRNA
Rfam family: Bacterial small subunit ribosomal RNA
Source: RNAcentral
GACGAACGCUGGCGGCGUGCUUAACACAUGCAAGUCGAGCGGUAAGGCCCUUUCGGGGGUACACGAGCGGCGAACGGGUGAGUAACACGUGGGUGACCUGCCCUCAGCUCUGGGAUAAGCCUGGGAAACCGGGUCUAAUACCGGAUAUGACUCCAUGACGCAUGUUGUGGGGUGGAAAGCCUUGUGCGGCUGAGGAUGGGCCCGCGGCCUAUCAGCUUGUUGGUGGGGUGANGGCCUACCAAGGCGACGACGGGUAGCCGGCCUGAGAGGGCGACCGGCCACACUGGGACUGAGACACGGCCCAGACUCCUACGGGAGGCAGCAGUGGGGAAUCUUGCGCAAUGGGCGAAAGCCUGACGCAG